Molecule: transfer RNA, 72 nt
Organism: Sphaerulina musiva SO2202
Lineage: Eukaryota; Fungi; Ascomycota; Dothideomycetes; Mycosphaerellales; Mycosphaerellaceae
Rfam family: tRNA
About the family: Transfer RNA (tRNA) molecules are approximately 80 nucleotides in length.
Source: Rfam
AGCUUCGUAGAUCAGCGGAAGAUCGCCGGGCUCAUAACCCGGAGGUCGACGGAUCGAAACCGUCCGAUGCUA